This 263-nucleotide long non-coding RNA is filed under the name Pandoravirus dulcis. Its description in RNAcentral is "putative ncRNA". The record is from RNAcentral.
ACGGGUGCAAGGUGCGCGUUGGUGAUCUGUCUUGGAGGAUCACGCGGUGACGCAAGCACAGAUUUUUAUGUCUGAUUUUCCAAUGCUUUUGCAAGACGUUGACAGCAUUUUUGCGCGUCGCAAUUGGUUCGCCCCUUUUGUCCUCCCUUUGGCGCGUCCUCGGCGCCAGACAGGUGGCGUGGCGGCAUACGUGCGGGAGUCGUCUAUGGCGCCGUGCCGACGGCCCGUUCUUUACAUUUCCUACCAAUAAACAGUCGCAAAAC